This 1332-nucleotide ribosomal RNA is filed under the name uncultured bacterium. RNAcentral's name for it is "bacterial SSU rRNA". It matches the Rfam family "Bacterial small subunit ribosomal RNA", at positions 28 to 1381 of the family's 1533-position model. The record is from RNAcentral.
GACGAACGCUGGCGGCGCGCCUAACACAUGCAAGUCGAACGAGCGAGAGAGAGCUUACUUUCUCGAGCGAGUGGCGAACGGGUGAGUAACGCGUGAGGAACCUGCCUCAAAGAGGGGGACAACAGUUGGAAACGACUGCUAAUACCGCAUAAGCCCACGGCUCGGCAUCGAGCAGAGGGAAAAGGAGCAAUCCGCUUUGAGAUGGCCUCGCGUCCGAUUAGCUAGUUGGUGAGGUAACGGCCCACCAAGGCGACGAUCGGUAGCCGGACUGAGAGGUUGAACGGCCACAUUGGGACUGAGACACGGCCCAGACUCCUACGGGAGGCAGCAGUGGGGAAUAUUGCACAAUGGGGGAAACCCUGAUGCAGCGACGCCGCGUGGAGGAAGAAGGUCUUCGGAUUGUAAACUCCUGUUGUUGAGGAAGAUAAUGACGGUACUCAACAAGGAAGUGACGGCUAACUACGUGCCAGCAGCCGCGGUAAAACGUAGGUCACAAGCGUUGUCCGGAAUUACUGGGUGUAAAGGGAGCGCAGGCGGGAAGACAAGUUGGAAGUGAAAUCCAUGGGCUCAACCCAUGAACUGCUUUCAAAACUGUUUUUCUUGAGUAGUGCAGAGGUAGGCGGAAUUCCCGGUGUAGCGGUGGAAUGCGUAGAUAUCGGGAGGAAGACCAGUGGCGAAGGCGGCCUACUGGGCACCAACUGACGCUGAGGCUCGAAAGUGUGGGUAGCAAACAGGAUUAGAUACCCUGGUAGUCCACACUGUAAACGAUGAUUACUAGGUGUUGGAGGAUUGACCCCUUCAGUGCCGCAGUUAACACAAUAAGUAAUCCACCUGGGGAGUACGACCGCAAGGUUGAAACUCAAAGGAAUUGACGGGGGCCCGCACAAGCAGUGGAGUAUGUGGUUUAAUUCGACGCAACGCGAAGAACCUUACCAAGUCUUGACAUCCUGCGACGCACAUAGAAAUAUGUGUUUCCUUCGGGACGCAGAGACAGGUGGUGCAUGGUUGUCGUCAGCUCGUGUCGUGAGAUGUUGGGUUAAGUCCCGCAACGAGCGCAACCCUUAUGGUCAGUUACUACGCAAGAGGACUCUGGCCAGACUGCCGUUGACAAAACGGAGGAAGGUGGGGAUGACGUCAAAUCAUCAUGCCCUUUAUGACUUGGGCUACACACGUACUACAAUGGCGUUAAACAAAGAGAAGCAAGACCGCGAGGUGGAGCAAAACUCAGAAACAACGUCCCAGUUCGGACUGCAGGCUGCAACUCGCCUGCACGAAGUCGGAAUUGCUAGUAAUCGCAGAUCAGCAUGCUGCGGUGAAUACGUUCCCGGGCCU